CCCUUAGAUGUUCUGGGCCGCACGCGCGCUACACUGACGAAUGCAACGAGCUUAUAACCUUGGCCGAAAGGUCUGGGUAAUCUCCAAAUUUCGUCGUGAUGGGGAUAGAUUAUUGCAAUUAUGGGUCUUCAACGAGGAAUUCCUAGUAAACGCAAGUCAUCAGCUUGCAUUGAUUACGUCCCUGCCCUUUGUACACACCGCCCGUCGCACCUACCGAUUGAAUGGUCCGGUGAAAUCUCGGGACGGCGGCUUGGUCGCUUGCGUCCGACUGCUGAAACUUGAUUAAACCAUAUCAUUUAGAGGAAGGUGAAGUCGUANCA
This 320-nucleotide ribosomal RNA is filed under the name uncultured eukaryote. Its description in RNAcentral is "partial 18S ribosomal RNA". It matches the Rfam family "Eukaryotic small subunit ribosomal RNA", at positions 1470 to 1796 of the family's 1831-position model. The record is from RNAcentral.